GUAGGGGCUCAGGGGCAGAGCGCUUGCCUGGCACGUGGAGGCCCUGAGUUCAAUCCCCAGCACCACA
This 67-nucleotide transfer RNA is filed under the name Marmota monax (woodchuck). RNAcentral describes it as "tRNA.Ala". The record is from RNAcentral. Lineage: Eukaryota; Metazoa; Chordata; Mammalia; Rodentia; Sciuridae.